CACUUUAGGAUGGACCUGCGGCGUAUUAGCUAGUUGGUAAGGUAAUGGCUUACCAAGGCAAUGAUACGUAGCCGACCUGAGAGGGUAAUCGGCCACAAUGGGACUGAGACACGGCCCAUACUCCUACGGGAGGCAGCAGUAGGGAAUCUUCCACAAUGGACGAAAGUCUGAUGGAGCAACGCCGCGUGAGUGAAGAAGGGUUUCGGCUCGUAAAACUCUGUUGUUAAAGAAGAACGAACGUGAUAGGAAAUGAUCACGUUGUGACGGUAUUUAACCAGAAAGUCACGGCUAACUACGUGCCAGCAGCCGCGGUAAUACGUAGGUGGCAAACGUUGUCCGGAUUUAUUGGGCGUAAAGCGAGCGCAGGCGGUUUCUUAAGUCUGAUGUGAAAGCCUUCGGCUUAACCGAAGAAGUGCAUCGGAAACUGGGAAACUUGAGUGCAGAAGAGGACAGUGGAACUCCAUGUGUAGCGGUGAAAUGCGUAGAUAUAUGGAAGAACACCAGUGGCGAAGGCGGCUGUCUGGUCUGUAACUGACGCUGAGGCUCGAAAGCAUGGGUAGCAAACAGGAUUA
RNAcentral lists this ribosomal RNA (572 nucleotides) under Fructilactobacillus sp. RNAcentral describes it as "bacterial SSU rRNA". It matches the Rfam family "Bacterial small subunit ribosomal RNA", at positions 216 to 780 of the family's 1533-position model. Lineage: Bacteria; Bacillati; Bacillota; Bacilli; Lactobacillales; Lactobacillaceae. The record is from RNAcentral.